AACGCGAAGAACCUUACCUACUCUUGACAUCCUCGGAAGCCUGUAGAGAUACGGGUGUGCCUUCGGGAACCGAGAGACAGGUGCUGCAUGGCUGUCGUCAGCUCGUGUCGUGAGAUGUUGGGUUAAGUCCCGUAACGAGCGCAACCCUUACCCUUAGUUGCCAGCGAUUAGGUCGGGAACUCUAAGGAGACUGCCGGUGAUAAGCCGGAGGAAGGUGGGGAUGAGGUCAAGUCAUCAUGGCCCUUACGAGUAGGGCUACACACGUGCUACAAUGGGCGGUACAAAGGGAAGCGAAGCCGUGAGGUGAAGCGAAUCUCAAGAAAGCCGCUCGUAGUCCGGAUUGGAGUCUGCAACUCGACUCCAUGAAGUUGGAAUCGCUAGUAAUCGCGGAUCAGAACGCCGCGGUGAAUACGUUCCCGGGCCUUGUACACACCGACUGUAC
RNAcentral lists this ribosomal RNA (442 nucleotides) under uncultured bacterium. Its description in RNAcentral is "bacterial SSU rRNA". It matches the Rfam family "Bacterial small subunit ribosomal RNA", at positions 958 to 1399 of the family's 1533-position model. The record is from RNAcentral.